AACGAACGCUGGCGGCAUGCCUAACACAUGCAAGUCGAACGAGACCUUCGGGUCUAGUGGCGCACGGGUGCGUAACGCGUGGGAACCUGCCCUUAGGUUCGGAAUAACUCCCCGAAAGGGGUGCUAAUACCGGAUAAUGUCUUCGGACCAAAGAUUUAUCGCCUUUGGAUGGGCCCGCGUUGGAUUAGCUAGUUGGUAGGGUAAAAGCCUACCAAGGCGACGAUCCAUAGCUGGUCUGAGAGGAUGAUCAGCCACGCUGGGACUGAGACACGGCCCAGACUCCUACAGGAGGCAGCAGUGGGGAAUAUUGGACAAUGGGCGAAAGCCUGAUCCAGCAAUGCCGCGUGAGUGAUGAAGGCCUUAGGGUUGUAAAGCUCUUUUACCCGGGAUGAUAAUGACAGUACCGGGAGAAUAAGCUCCGGCUAACUCCGUG
RNAcentral lists this ribosomal RNA (433 nucleotides) under uncultured bacterium. RNAcentral describes it as "partial 16S ribosomal RNA". It matches the Rfam family "Bacterial small subunit ribosomal RNA", at positions 29 to 507 of the family's 1533-position model. The record is from RNAcentral.